GUUAAUUGCUCGUUUGAUUAGGUACAAGCUUGCAACAGAAUCUGAUGCAAUAGUGAGCUUCUUAGUUGCAAAUUCUUUACCUUCGCCACCAAAUUCUGCGAGGGCAGCACGAAUUGCUGCCAAUUCAGCUCUCGUAAUAGUGUUUGUGCACCCAGCGCCAUUUGGAUUCACGUAGACAACGCGAGAAUCGCUGAACCAGGCGCAGGCGCCGGCAACCUGGACUUCUUUGCCAUUGUCAGUUUUGAUUUUGCUUACCGAACCAUCUGUCCAGACAGUGCCAUUCACGUCGUGGGCCAGAGCAUGGUGGGUCUGGAAUUGCGCGUUAGGAAAGCGUCGUGCUUCGUCAGCCAUGGCGUGUAUCGUCUUUGGGUUAGCGUGCUGGUAUUUGGCUUGCUUUAGAAGUGAGUUUGGGAGGGCCGGGCAGGUUGGGGCCGUGGCCGUGUGUGUCCACGUGCGCGGGUCGCUUAUGUGCGUGGGUGCGUUCGCCCCCCGUUUCAGUGUGUCCACGAGCCGUUUCAGGCGGGGGGCAAAGCACUGGAGUCCGGCGGGGUUCCCAACAAUGACCAGUCGGAGCCCCUUCUGGCGUUCAGCCUGGGUGUUGGUGUCAAGUCCUGUGUCAAGGCCCGCGGUGCCCGCGGACCAGUUGGCCAGCUCGCGGCAAAGUGGGUGUUGAAGCCACUGCGUGUGGGGGAAAGUGGCCGCUUUGGGGAGCGCCAAUACAGUAAGGGUUGGUUCCUGUGAGUCACGCAUAGCCUCGGCGCAUGCGAGGGCCCACAUGAGCGCCUUCCGUGCAUCGUGGGGGGUAGAGGGGGGGUGGGCAUAUUGCAAGCCGGUCCAUGCGGUCUGGUAGGCAUCAUGCAGUGCGCCAAAGGCCCCAUCAGCAGGGUCUCGUGUCCAGUAUUCGUGGGCUGCAGUGGAGGAGUUUAGUGGGGACGCAAACAUUUCCCGAAUGUGUACUGCUUGUGUGACCCGCAGGCAUUGGACGAUGGCUGCUACUGUGCCUGCCGGCAGCGACACCUGGUGCAUUGGCAUGGCCUUGCGGUCCUGCUGCGCCGGGUCAUAGCGGUAGCGCAUGAUGAGGGCAGCGACCGCUUCCUCAAAGGCGUUGGGUCGCUGGUUGCCGGUGUGCCUGAAGCGCUCCCACAGGGUAAGGAGGCGGGGGUAGGUGAUGGUGCCCAGCCAGCGGCCACUGGGUUCAUGGACGUGCGCCUCAGCUGGGUCACGGCGGGUGCCACCCGUGGUGGUAAUUGUGUAUGCUCCGGGGGCCACGAUGUCCUUGUAGGGGUUGCACGGGCUUGUGGUGAUGGUGGUGGUCGUGCGGAUGUCACGCGCGCGGGAUGCGGUAUCCAGGGGCUCGGCGUCAUGGUGGCCUUGGCGCUGUCUGGCGGUAAGGUUCCGAUCAGGUGCGGGGCGCACUGUUCUGGGCCGCGGGCCUUGGUUGGUACCGUUGGCUUGCCCCUUCCCCCGAAGGGGGAGGGGCGGAAGCCAUUGCGGUCGCAUCGAGUCCCCAGGCGGGGCCCCCUCGGUUAUUCCAGUUUUAUGUGCAGUUACGUCGGGAAACCCGAACGUAACCAGAGUUCUUGUGCAAAUAAUACGCCUUUCAAUGUGUCUGUAGCAACACAUAACUUUGCGAAAACACGAGGAAGACGUAAGACUAGAGGCAAAGGGAUCGCAGGCGUUGGAGGAUCCCGGCGCUCGAUAGCGCGAUCGGCUUUGUAUUUCCGCGGACGAUAUCCUUCAAAGCAAACAUUCAGACUUGGACGUUUACGAGUGCAGCGCAUGCGAUCUCUCCGAUCAGCGAUAGGAGAAACGCAAUGCAUGUGCUUCAUCGCGAUGCAUAAGCAGAGCUGAGUUUUGUGAUAUCAACAGUGCAUACUAUCGUGGUACGAGGGUUUGUCGAAAACGUGUGCGAACUCUCGGUCCCCUGCCCCCGCAGGCCCCCGCCCUUGCCCCCGCCCGCGCUCUCUUACCUUCGGCAAACGCAACUGUGUUCACCGGCGCCUCCCCGCGCAAAUCCCUCCCCUGAUACCAACCCCGCAACCCCCUCCCACUCCGUUCGCACAACUGCGACUGCGCGGAAUUGGAAGUUGGGAAUGAGCCCAUACCCGACAGCUGGGAUCGGGGGUAAAUUUCCUGUCAUGCUGGCCUGCAAUGGUGCGCAAUGCGACAGGGGGAGGGGGCAAGCCGGGGUACUGCGUAGCGGUAGGGGUUUGCUAGCCGGGUUUUGCACUCCUCCAGUAACUCCUCCCAUUGUGGACUGUGUUUUAGGUCCCGUUCACGGUCCGUGCUCGGCGCCCACGUGACAUGUCGUAGGAGUUUGGUCGUCCAGGACGAGAAUAGGGGGGCCCCAGUGGGCUGCGGUGCUGCCGGCUCUGCAGCUUGGGCAGGCUCUUCAGGUGAGAUUGCGUGGGCUUGGGUUUCAGCCGGAGGCUCAGCCUCGGUCUGCGCAGGUUGUGGGCCUGGGCGUGUCGCAAGAGGGUGCUUGUAACACCUGGCAUUCUGGAUAGUUGCGUAGCCCAUGCGAACAAAAGCAGAGACAAUGCCGGCCGGGCAAAUGGACGGCUUCCACUGCACCUUCCAGUAUUUUUCACGUGUCCCAGAGGUGUCCUCUCUGGCUUUGCGCUUCCGUGUCAGUUCUUUGUCCGUGACAGUUUGUUUGUUUUCGCUGUGCAGGACCUGUGCUAGGUCCUGUCCGUCAUUGUCCAGGUCGUAGGUGAGUUGAGUGUCACCGUUAGUGCGGUUGUCGGCGGGCCGUGGGACUAGAUCGUGUGUGAUCCUGGCGCGGGCCAGUCGCCAGCUGGGACGGGCCCCGUGGCCUCCCGCAGCUUGCGCUGCCGGGGCGGUCAGGGGCGGCGUCGGGCUAUUGGCGUCCAUGGGGUCGUUGUGAGCGGCAGCCUGGUUGACUUCCAUAGGCAAUCCUGUGUUGUUCAGAUACUCGCUUAUGGCGUUGGGUUCGGGGUUGGCGGCAUUCGCCGUGAGGCGGGAUGUGAGGGCGGGUGGUAGCCCACGGCGCUGUUGGCGUGGUUCGACAGCAUGUGCAAGGGAGGGUGGGUCUUGUGGGUGUGGGUGGCAGAUCCGCAUGUGUCCUGUCAUGUCUUUGGCGAGCGCUUGGAAUACCGAGCAUGCCGUUUCGUACCCCCGCGUGCCCACCGGCAGGCUCUCAUCGCCGUUGGUGAGCCGCAGGGCAUGGUUGAUGGCGGCGCGGUCCCCGGUGAGUAAGUCCUCAGGGGUAGUGCGUGUAGUUUCUGCAAUGCGUGCGCGUUGCGCUGCAUGUUUUGUAACGCGCCGUGUGCGUGUUUGGUUCUGUGGCCGGCGUGUUGUAGCCGGCUUGCGGGCUCUGGCCGGUGGCCGUAGGGAGGGUUGCGUUGCCCCAUCAGCGGGGACUUCCGGUGCAGCAGCACCUUGUGCGCCGGGAUGGGCCUGGGCCGCCCCUGCUGGAGAGGGGGGGGCUAGGUCGGCGGGGGCUUGCGUGGUGUUUGCUUGGGCGGGGGGCGCCUCCGGGAGGGGCUGCAGGUACCGGUCGAGGGGGUUGGCCAUUCCGAGAGGGAGGGGGUCCGCCCUCAUGGCUAAGGCCACGAUUGCGGCCACGUCAGGCAGUGCACGCUGUGCGGUGGUCAGGGGGGCAGGGCUGCCGUGGGCUGGAGCGUUUUCCCCUGCACGUGCAGCCAUACUGAGAGCAAGGCUAAGCCUGUUCAGGGCUACCUUGUGCUUGUGCCGGACCCGGCUCGCUCCCAUGUGCUUCUCGAGGUCCGAGCUAGUAAUCAGGUGUUUGCCUGUGUUGCGGUCCACCAGGUGGCUUAGUUCGAGCCUCAGGUCCGCAAGAGGGAGGACGUAUUCAAUGGGGAGAGGUUCGACGCCCCGGGCCUCAGCUUCUGCCUCAAGGGCAGCGGCAAUGGACCAGGUAGGCACAGUAAAGGCAGACCCAUUUUGGUACAGUGUGACACCGUACUCUUUUGCCAGGGUCAUCUGUUUCAGCGUUGUAAGGUGGUGUGACCUAUGGGCUGGGAGAAGGUGGGCCUGUGUGGGGCCAGCUAUGCUUGCCUGGCGCGUCAGAAGGGCUCGGGUUACUAUCCCAAGACGGCCCGAGUCAUUUAGGGCAAGGACCAGGGCUCGCUGGGCCACGCGCGCGUAUUGCGGCAGGAGGGAGCCCAGGCCCAAGCCGUAUUCGUUGGCGGGCAGGAGGGAGGUCCGGGUGGGGAAGCUGCGGGGGAGUCCGUAGCAGCGCUUUGCAUAACCAGCCAGGGUAGUGUCGAGCGUUGUUAUGUCCUGUUUUGUGAAGGGCAUUGCUGCGAAUCCAUAUGCAACUGUGGUGUGCACGCACUGUUGUAUCAUGCGCAGGCGUUGUGCCGGUGUCGCCAGGGAUGUGGCAAUGGCUGUGCCCUUGUCCUUCACAAUCUCGGUGACUCUUGCGACAUGUGCCGACCAGUCCAGCGAGAACGUGAGCUGCACUCCCAGGUACUUGUACGGCUGGGUCGGGGGGAAGUACGGGACAGGGGUCGUGCCAAUCUUAAUUGUGUUGGUCAUGUUGCGGCGCAUGGCGGCAAGGGUAGCUUUUCCUGUGGGCCCAUCAAGGUUGGGGUCCGAGCGAGAUUUGUCGUGCCAGAUGGCGGUGGUGGCACACUUGGUGUGAUUGACACGCAGGCUCGCCCACUCGGCGUAAGAUGCGAUUUUGUCACAUUGAACCUGCAGGUCGUCGAGCGAGUUGGUGAGCGCCGCCAGGUCGUCUGCGUACGCGGCGGCACUGCAAUGGUAUUGCAGGUUUUCGCUGGGGGUCAGGCAGCCGUAGUGGUAGCCCCGUCCGCCCGCAUGGAGCCAGCGGACAAGAGGUUCCAUGAACAGAAUAAAGAGCACAG
This 4853-nucleotide long non-coding RNA is filed under the name Chlamydomonas reinhardtii. Its description in RNAcentral is "long non-coding RNA (CREI_LNC000353)". The record is from RNAcentral. Lineage: Eukaryota; Viridiplantae; Chlorophyta; Chlorophyceae; Chlamydomonadales; Chlamydomonadaceae.